UACGUAGGGUGCGAGCGUUGUCCGGAAUUAUUGGGCGUAAAGAGCUCGUAGGCGGUGUGUCACGUCGUUCGUGAAAACCUGCAGCUUAACUGUGGGCGUGCGGUCGAUACGGGCAUCACUGGAGUUCGGCAGGGGAGACUGGAAUUCCUGGUGUAGCGGUGAAAUGCGCAGAUAUCAGGAGGAACACCGGUGGCGAAGGCGGGUCUCUGGGCCGAAACUGACGCUGAGACGCGAAAGCGUGGGGAGCAAACAGG
Molecule: ribosomal RNA, 254 nt
Filed under: uncultured bacterium
Lineage: Bacteria
Description: partial 16S ribosomal RNA
Rfam family: Bacterial small subunit ribosomal RNA
Source: RNAcentral